GGAUGUAGCUCAGCUGGUAGAGUGCUUACCUUGCAUGCACAAGGCCCUGGGUUCGAUCCCCAGCACCA
Molecule: transfer RNA, 68 nt
Filed under: Marmota monax (woodchuck)
Lineage: Eukaryota; Metazoa; Chordata; Mammalia; Rodentia; Sciuridae
Description: tRNA.Ala
Rfam family: tRNA
About the family: Transfer RNA (tRNA) molecules are approximately 80 nucleotides in length. Their secondary structure includes four short double-helical elements and three loops (D, anti-codon, and T loops).
Source: RNAcentral